RNAcentral lists this ribosomal RNA (520 nucleotides) under uncultured Saccharomyces. Its description in RNAcentral is "eukaryotic LSU rRNA". It matches the Rfam family "Eukaryotic large subunit ribosomal RNA", at positions 62 to 579 of the family's 3401-position model. Lineage: Eukaryota; Fungi; Ascomycota; Saccharomycetes; Saccharomycetales; Saccharomycetaceae. The record is from RNAcentral.
AAACCAACCGGGAUUGCCUUAGUAACGGCGAGUGAAGCGGCAAAAGCUCAAAUUUGAAAUCUGGUACCUUCGGUGCCCGAGUUAUAAUUUGGAGAGGGCAACUUUGGGGCCGUUCCUUGUCUAUGUUCCUUGGAACAGGACGUCAUAGAGGGUGAGAAUCCCGUGUGGCGAGGAGUGCGGUUCUUUGUAAAGUGCCUUCGAAGAGUCGAGUUGUUUGGGAAUGCAGCUCUAAGUGGGUGGUAAAUUCCAUCUAAAGCUAAAUGUUGGCAAGAGACCGAUAGCGAACAAGUACAGUGAUGGAAAGAUGAAAAGAACUUUGAAAAGAGAGUGAAAAAGUACGUGAAAUUGUUGAAAGGGAAGGGCAUUUGAUCAGACAUGGUGUUUUGUGCCUCUGCUCCUUGUGGGUAGGGGAAUCUCGCAUUUCACUGGGCCAGCAUCAGUUUUGGUGGCAGGGUAAAUCCAUAGGAAUGUAGCUUGCCUCGGUAAGUAUUAUAGCCUGUGGGAAUACUGCCAGCUGGGA